Molecule: long non-coding RNA, 356 nt
Filed under: Malus domestica (apple)
Lineage: Eukaryota; Viridiplantae; Streptophyta; Magnoliopsida; Rosales; Rosaceae
Description: long non-coding RNA (MDOM_LNC003139)
Source: RNAcentral
CAAACUGUGAGAUAUGUGUGUUAAAAAAUUAAAAACUUAAAAAAAUAAAAUUUCCCACUACUUCUAUAAAAACACGUGGUGUACAUCCGCGUUCCUGUCACAAUGAAUUUUUUUUCAUAUUGAACAAAUUUUGGUUUUGUUGAUUGGACUAGUAUGAUAUUCAUAUAGAACAAGAACUGAAACCAAAUAGAACCAAUUAAAAAAAUCGAACCGAACCAAAAUCAUUUGAUUCGGUUUCAGUUUCAGUAAUUCAAGAAUCGAACUAAACCGUAUAUAUAUUAAUGUUAUUUAUUUAUUAUGUUGGAUAUUUUAUUUUUUAAACCCAAUUUCAAGCACAAUUUGUAAACCCAAAUACU